Long non-coding RNA from Olea europaea var. sylvestris, 378 nucleotides. RefSeq lists it as uncharacterized. The record is from RefSeq and is a predicted model, not a curated record. Lineage: Eukaryota; Viridiplantae; Streptophyta; Magnoliopsida; Lamiales; Oleaceae. The transcript has 2 exons.
GCUUUCUCCAUCUUUCAAAGGCCUGCGCCCACCAGAAAUUGGCGUCCGGUCCACCGACUCGAAUACGGAUAAAUACAUGACUAGAUUCUCCUAACGUGUUUAUUUUAUAUUAUAUCUGUCCUUUAUGGAAACAAUUUUGUCCCAGUAAUGGCUUUCUUCGUCUCUCUGUCGCCGACUCUCCAUCUGACUCCGAUUGUUUAAAGAAGACUCGACACCGUACAAGUAAUAAGCGACGUUGUAUGGCAAUCCACGAAGAAAGAUCGGGGGGUUAUUGUAUUUCUAGGUUUUGAAACUCAAUUACCUCGAGGGAAAGAGACUGUGAGAGGGAGAGAGCUUUGUCAAACCAAUUGAGGAAAUUGGGCUUUCGAUUUUCCGAUU